UACGGGCUCAAUUCCAGAAAAGGAUUAGUGUUUGUUGUAGUUGGCGACCUUUGUAAAAUAUGCGACGUCGCACUCGGUACAUGUUGGCCAAUGUGAGGGCGCCCACCCCCCACAUGGCCUACGCUCGCUCCAUCUCCCCACCACUAGCAUACAUCUGAAGAAGGGCCAUAGACUCUUGUGCUUGCCGCUUUUCAGCCAAAAAUCUGCCCGAAGCUUCUUUCAACUGCUCCAAGAAGAUUCUGAAAUAAUUCGUUAAAAACGAAUAACGAUACCUCUUGGAAUUAUAUGAAUUAAACAACUAUGAAAUUUGAUUUCGUUUACCUGUCUGGUACUAUAUCGGCUAAGCUGUCUGGAUCCAUAUCGCUCAGUAAUUCUAGAUCGCUUCCACCUAGCAACGAUAUAUGCGACGGGUCACCGUGCAAUGAUGAAACCAAUGGUUCUAUCGGUGGUCUAUGCCUUCUCAACUCAUCUCCUCUUAAACCACUUUCUAUGUUGUCAACAUCAUCUACAACAAUAUACCGAGAAGCAGCUUUACUACUUCCAGCUGCUAUCCAUUUUUGAUCUCCAUGCAGAACCAUUAAACUAGUGUUUCUUUCUAAUGUUGCAAAAUAUUCUUCGUCAUCUACUUCUGUGCCUAUAAAAAGAAAAAGAAACAAGUGAAAAAUGUGUUAACGAUAUCCAUGUUUGUACAGUGGCAUCAAGGAAAAUUUGAAUCAAAGUAAACUGUGAUAUUAUUACGUUACCAUCUUGUUCUAAAACUAUUGUGAGUUCUGCAUCCAAGGGCAACGACAAACGGCUUCUUGCAAUACUAGUUAAUUCUUUCAGAGAAGACGCAGUGAUGCCCUUACGCUUUUCUCUAGCAUGAUCAACAAUUUUGUAAGGGUUGCCCAGCCCCUGUGAUAUUCCUGCUGUUUCCGACAUUGCUGUUUCAAAUUACAAGUUAGAAAAAUCUUAAAACAACUCACUGGAAUGUCGGUAUGUUUUUCUAGGCGAAACAAAUGUAGGUCAACUAUAUAUUUAUAUAUAUAUAUACAUAUAUAUAUAUAUAUAUAUACAUAUAUAUAUAUAUAUAUAGAUAUAGAUAUAGAUAUAGAUAUAUAUUAAAUUUCUGGCAUCGAAAGUAUACUUUCAUUAAAAGAAUUGACUGCUACUAAGGCUCGAUUAUCGUUGCACAUUAUUUUUUAUCAACGUUGGCGAGUAUCGUCAAAUCAAUUUGCAAAUUGCACUACAUUUGCAAAUGUCAACUCGUUAUUGGCCACAAAGAAUCUUCGUAGAAUUUUCGUUAGAAAAACAUUACAACGAUACUUGAACGCACUAGGUAUAAAGUUGUAUGGUUUGAAUGUCAGUUCAAAGAAAGGGCAGUGGUUUGGAGAUUGCGUUAGAUUGUUGAGUUUUACUGAGAUUCUCUACGAUGUUUAACCAUUUACAGAUUACGAAUAAAAAAUUUGGAAAAGCUUAUAAAGAUGAUUAACGUUCGAGUGACUGAACUGACCGUAUGUCAACUCAACACUGGGUCAAUGGUGCAACUACCCCUCCUAUUUAUAUUCUCUGUAGACUAUCGCGUACGGUGCUACUGAGAGACAGCCUCACGUAUACUCACGUAUUCCCUCCCAACAUGGCACCUACGCGGAAAUCAAUAACCAACCCUACUCUAACAGUAAUAUUAUUUUUUCUUUUAUUUUAUUACUAUUAAACUGUUUAGAUUACAGGAAAAUUAUUUCUUCGAUAUUAAUACGAUAAUAAUUCAAUACAAUAAAUUUCAAAUGAAUUAUAUUGCACAUAAUAACAUCCAUUAUGUAUCAUCAAUCAUACAUAGGCAUCUACAUUUAUUUAUAAGUAAUUUUUACACUUUACAUUGGAACAUGACAUGACUUCAGACAUAUCAGAAAUAUUUGAA
Molecule: non-coding RNA, 1897 nt
Organism: Megalopta genalis
Lineage: Eukaryota; Metazoa; Arthropoda; Insecta; Hymenoptera; Halictidae
Source: RefSeq, a predicted model, not a curated record